AGAUUGAACGCUGGCGGCAGGCCUAACACAUGCAAGUCGAGCGGUAGAGAGGUGCUUGCAUCUCUUGAGAGCGGCGGACGGGUGAGUAAUGCCUAGGAAUCUGCCUAGUGGUGGGGGAUAACGUUCGGAAACGGACGCUAAUACCGCAUACGUCCUACGGGAGAAAGCGGGGGACCUUCGGGCCUCGCGCCAUUAGAUGAGCCUAGGUCGGAUUAGCUAGUUGGUGAGGUAAUGGCUCACCAAGGCGACGACUCCGUAACUGGUCUGGAGAGGAUGAUCAGUCACACUGGAACUGAGACACGGU
This 304-nucleotide ribosomal RNA is filed under the name uncultured soil bacterium. RNAcentral describes it as "bacterial SSU rRNA". It matches the Rfam family "Bacterial small subunit ribosomal RNA", at positions 26 to 330 of the family's 1533-position model. The record is from RNAcentral.